UACGUAGGGUGCAAGCGUUGUCCGGAAUUAUUGGGCGUAAAGAGCUCGUAGGCGGCUUGUCGCGUCGGCUGUGAAAACCUGGGGCUCAACUCCGGGCUUGCAGCCGAUACGGGCAAGCUAGAGUUCGGUAGGGGAGACUGGAAUUCCUGGUGUAGCGGUGAAAUGCGCAGAUAUCAGGAGGAACACCGGUGGCGAAGGCGGCUACCUGGCCCAACAUUGACGCUGAGACCCGAAAGCAUGGGGAUCAAACAGG
This 253-nucleotide ribosomal RNA is filed under the name uncultured bacterium. Its description in RNAcentral is "partial 16S ribosomal RNA". It matches the Rfam family "Bacterial small subunit ribosomal RNA", at positions 524 to 776 of the family's 1533-position model. The record is from RNAcentral.